GGAUUUGAGAAGAGGUUGCAGAUGAUCAAGGAGCAACACGUGCAGGGAUGGCUUGAAAAUGGCGAAGAGGUGCCCAAAGCCCCCUCCUGUGCAGCCUGAGCAUGCCUUGCUGAGGAUGAAGCCUGCUUUCCAGCAGUUCUGAAAACUGUGUUGAGGCUGAAAUGCUGCGUCUGUGUUUGGGUUGGCGUUGUACCUUGAUGAAUCAACCCACUUGUGUAACUCUCCAGAGGACUAAAACCCGCUUGAUUACAUGCUAGAAGAGGCUUGACUGUGUUGGUGCAGUAUUACCAAGAGACUGAGCAGGGUCACGUUUUUCAUCUGCAAAGGGAACGCAAGGCAUAGGCACGGAAACUUGAACGAAGCAUGAGGGUGAGUGGACAGCAGUGGGGGCCCCGAGUUGGUCGGUGGACUGUGUUAUUCUGCUUCACCUGUCGGGCUGGCUUUGCAAGUGCCUUGUGACAGCAGAGUACGUCUCCUGCCACGUUUCUGAGACAUGCCAGACGUCAGCGGUUCCAGUUCCUGAAAUGCUGGAGAUGCUCGGAGCACAAGAGGAGCUGGGAGCAUGAUGCAUCUCCUGGGGAUGUUAGCCCCGUGACCUUGGCUCAGCACAGUGAAUGGAAGCGCUAAGCCUGGAUCGGGAAGGUGAGUGGAGAAAAUUUGGAAAACGGGUAUUGUUUUUGCUGUAGUAGUCUCUUGGUGCACCUCUGGGUGACUCCUCUUUUGCAGGGACGAAGAAGGUCCUGGGAACAUCCUAGCUGGCCUCUGUGGUGCACAUUGAUAGUGGAUUCUGAGCCCUGAGAAUUAAGUCCAGGGGGAAAUACUGUGUGUUGUGGAGUGGUUGGCAGAGGGAAGUGGGGAGUUGUUUAAAGGGUGUCUAUCUGAUUUCAUUAGCAGAGCAGGUCAGUUGAUUACUGUUUUGUUUCUGAGGAGGUUGUUUCACUGGAAGAAAUUUGGCUAGUGUGCUGGCGCCUGAUGGCACUUCAUUUCUGCAGGUGAAGAGGAGCCUUGUGCCUGAAGCAAUGUCCUGGCUAGCCUUUGUGAGCCUUCCUUGGUGAGGAUGGAACCUGCCUCCCAGCAUUCCCAAGCUAACUCCCUUGCUGGCUGCAGCACUAUAUUUUGCUCGUAAUUCUGCGUGUGAAGAUCUGAAUGAAGACAAUGGAGUCGUAAGUGUUUAAAGCGUAUACUGUUCUGUUGGAUGGGUUUUGGUUGCCUGUGUGUGUAAGAGUGUGACUGAGACGGAAUUUAGUUCCGAAGCGAUUGUGGAGGUCUUCUUUACCACGGUUCCAAUGUCCCGCGGGGGACUUGGCCGGUGAAGGACCAAAGGGAUUCCCAAAGAAUUUGUGGGUGGGUGAUAGAUCUUAAAUCCUCUUUAAGACACUCUUAUUAAGGUAACCAAGGGCUGUGGGAAUUGCCAGAGUAACAUUCCUAGAUGGGUGAGACAAAACCGAAGACCAGGGACCAGAAGAAAGGGAGCAAAUUACCAGACAUACCACCAGAAAGUCCAUUAGGAAUAACAGUUAGAAACUGGAAGGAGAGAGGCCCCAGUAACGUAAAAAGUAAAUAAAACAUGGUUCAGUCUUGUGUGAUAGAAUGGCCAAAGGAGCCUUUAAGACCGCAUGUCUUUCGGCCCGUUUUUGGAUCCUUUGAAGACUGUAUUUGUCAGGCCUUAAAUACACAUGUUAAUUCGAAGGAACCUUUUUGCCGGGGAGAAAGUGAUUAUGCAGGAUUAUGGAUCAGGAUGACUUCAUGUCCUUUUACGGCCUUAAUAUUUACACUAAAAGCAGGUAAGAAAUUUUGAAGAAGAAGAAGAACAGGAAAAAUAAAAAGAUAAUAAACGGGAGCCGUUGGAUAACCUACCGUCUCCAUAUCGUAACAAUCCACCUCCGGUGGUGUACUGGGUCUGGCUGGAAUGUUAACUUUCCCAGCAGCAGCCCAUACAGUGCCGUACUCUGCAGUUGUAGCUGGAACAGCAGUGUUAUCACACCAGUGUUGUGUCUACUGCUGAGCAGC
Anas platyrhynchos (mallard) is the source of this 2010-nucleotide non-coding RNA. Lineage: Eukaryota; Metazoa; Chordata; Aves; Anseriformes; Anatidae. The record is from RefSeq and is a predicted model, not a curated record.